UACGUAGGGUGCGAGCGUUAAUCGGAAUUACUGGGCGUAAAGCGUGCGCAGGCGGUUAUAUAAGACAGAUGUGAAAUCCCCGGGCUCAACCUGGGAACUGCAUUUGUGACUGUAUAGCUAGAGUACGGCAGAGGGGGAUGGAAUUCCGCGUGUAGCAGUGAAAUGCGUAGAUAUGCGGAGGAACACCGAUGGCGAAGGCAAUCCCCUGGGCCUGUACUGACGCUCAUGCACGAAAGCGUGGGGAGCAAACAGGAUUAGAUACCCUGGUAGUCCACGCCCUAAACGAUGUCAACUGGUUGUUGGGUCUUCACUGACUCAGUAACGAAGCUAACGCGUGAAGUUGACCGCCUGGGGAGUACGGCCGCAAGGUUG
This 372-nucleotide ribosomal RNA is filed under the name uncultured bacterium. Its description in RNAcentral is "bacterial SSU rRNA". It matches the Rfam family "Bacterial small subunit ribosomal RNA", at positions 524 to 896 of the family's 1533-position model. The record is from RNAcentral.